RNAcentral lists this long non-coding RNA (1470 nucleotides) under Bos grunniens (domestic yak). Its description in RNAcentral is "lncRNA (ENSBGRG00000011723.1)". Lineage: Eukaryota; Metazoa; Chordata; Mammalia; Artiodactyla; Bovidae. The record is from RNAcentral.
AUGGGCUGCGGUCCCAGGACCCAAACAGCGUUCUGUGAUUGCGGGAUGCACGGGGCCAGAAGGAGAGGGUCACAGUCCUGGUCAAGGUUCCCAGAACUGCAGCCAUCCAUCUUCGAUGCUGGGGAGCACCGUUCCUGUCAUUGGGAUUUCCUUUCAUUAAUUCAACAAACUUUGAGCACCUUCUCUGCUCUAGGGGAUACACUGAUGAGCAAAACACACAUUCCUGCCUGCAUGGGGUCUGGUUUAAACGUGAGGGGAGGCAGCCUUUAUCCCACACAGUGAUUAAUUACAAACCGCACCCCACCCCCAAGUGCCCUCCAGAGCCCAGCAUUGGUUUGUAAAAUGGGACUAAAUCUGGGGUGCAAGGACAUUUCCUGAAAAAUGACAGGAGGUGAGAGCUGAAGGAUGUGAAGGAGUUAACUCAGGGCAUCCUGGGAAGAAGGCUGGACUCUUGAGCACGGGGACAGUACAUGGUGAGAUCAGGGCCCAAGGACCGCAGGGCACAGAGGGAUCAAUCAGUGAGUCCAAACUCAACCAGGGGAGUGACAAGGAGAUGCUGGAAAACUCCCAUGGCUGCUGCCAAGGACUGGGGUGCAAGAGGGAACUGGGGUUGGGGGGCUGAGAAUCUUUUCUCUGGACUGCAGUGGUGGUUCCAUAGCGGUACAAAACACAGAACUGGAUACCAAGAAGGGUGAAUUUCACUGUAAAUUGCAUCUCAGCUAGCCUUGCUUUAUAGUUUUUUUAAAAAAAGAGAAAGAAGCUGGCAAGGUGGGCCAGUACGGCCCCAUGGACCCUAGCAAGGGAUCUGGUCUUGAACCAGCCAUGCUGGCCGCUGAGGAAGGCGGACACCUGGAGCGAUUUUGGAGGGCCCUUGGCACUCAGCAGCGUGACCUCACAGGCCGGGACCUCCGGGAUAGGCACUGCCUGGUGCCACAGACACGGUCCCCCCCUCCCCGGGCUGCAGCUGCUGCUCCUGGCCUCCCUGACCCGGAAGUUAGGAGGAUUUGCUGUUCCUGUAGAAGAUAAGAGUCGCAACUGUGAACUCCAAGUGCCGUAGGGGAGAGGGGUGGGGGAGGGGUCUGCCUCCCUGUGAGUGGCAGAGAGUGAGCCCACCUGUCCUGAGCGCGGCUGGGCCCAGAGCGGGGGCGGGCGGUGGAAGGGGGGCCUGCACCCCACCCUUGGUGCUGACAGCAGAAGCUGGCCCUCAGGCCAUCACCACAGCCUCGGGGUGCAUCCUGAACACAAACCUGCUUGGCCAGUCUGCACCAGCAGACCAGAGGCCUCCAGAGAAGCGGCACUGCAGAAAGGAAGCGUGAGCCCACCCGGGGACUCGUUCCUGGGUUGACCAGCCCUCCUGCCCACCCCACUCCCCAUUUACCUAGUGUGGCCAGAACCAGCUCACCCAAGCUGUGGGCUGACCUCAGCAGGGCAGUGGUGGGCCCUGGGCACCCGAGGGCUCCAGCACAGAGG